AGCUCAGUUGGUAGAGCGUCAGCCUUCCAAGCUGAAUGUCGCGGGUUCGAAUCCCGUC
Molecule: transfer RNA, 58 nt
Filed under: Myxococcales bacterium
Lineage: Bacteria; Pseudomonadati; Myxococcota; Myxococcia; Myxococcales
Description: tRNA-Gly
Rfam family: tRNA
About the family: Transfer RNA (tRNA) molecules are approximately 80 nucleotides in length. Their secondary structure includes four short double-helical elements and three loops (D, anti-codon, and T loops).
Source: RNAcentral